Molecule: ribosomal RNA, 253 nt
Filed under: uncultured bacterium
Lineage: Bacteria
Description: partial 16S ribosomal RNA
Rfam family: Bacterial small subunit ribosomal RNA
Source: RNAcentral
UACGUAGGGUGCAAGCGUUGUCCGGAAUUAUUGGGCGUAAAGAGCUCGUAGGCGGCUUGUCGCGUCGAAUGUGAAAACUCGGGGCUCAACCCCGCGCUUGCAUUCGAUACGGGCAGGCUCGAGUUCGGUAGGGGAGACUGGAAUUCCUGGUGUAGCGGUGAAAUGCGCAGAUAUCAGGAGGAACACCGGUGGCGAAGGCGGGUCUCUGGGCCGAUACUGACGCUGAGGAGCGAAAGCGUGGGGAGCGAACAGG